RNAcentral lists this long non-coding RNA (1691 nucleotides) under Nicotiana benthamiana. RNAcentral's name for it is "long non-coding RNA (NBEN_LNC032699)". The record is from RNAcentral. Lineage: Eukaryota; Viridiplantae; Streptophyta; Magnoliopsida; Solanales; Solanaceae.
ACGAACAGACUUUCAUAUAAACAACUAGACCAAAGCAGCUAUUACAGACAUGAUUAUAAGAUUCUCUUGGGUUUUCCGCUCCUGUGAAUUCCCAUAUGAACGGACACAUGUCUUCAAUCAGAGGCCUCUUUUGCUCUCUCCCUAGCCGACACAUAACGCGUAAAGGUGUGUAGGGUUGGAAACCUUUGAAACCCAUGAGUAUGUAGAAUGGGCGAUAUGUUGACAUGUGCAUGCCUUUAGGGGAAGGUAAUCAAUAAUAGUUCCAAGUGAGUUUACCCGCAUCAAGUGAAGCAAGUAAUUCCUGCCAAGCCUUCACUCCAUUUGGGAGAUUACAACGUGUGGCCCUAUAUGGGUGAGAAAAAAUGUAAUUUAGCCAGUCUUCUUUGAAACUUAUCACUGUUGGAUGACAAUAAAGAUGCUCUAUGAACCACAUUUGCAGCAAAAUGUUGCAUCCUUCGAAGUAAUCUCUACCUUCUUGACAUCUGGUUAAAGCUCGAAAAAUGUCCCCCAAAAUCACAGGAAGAAUGGUGUGUUUUUUUCUAUUUUGUAAAUACGAGACUACUGACAAUAAUCAAAUUCUGAUGCGUCCGUCGCGCUCUAGGAAGACCAUUGUCCCUAGAAACAAAAUCAUGAAUGCGAAGAUCCUCAACUCUUUCCAAGCAUCGUAACUUAGCUGGUUGACAAAUUCUGUGGUCGAGAAUUUCUCAAAUCCUUUCUCGUUCCCAAAUCUGUCAUAGAGGUAGUCUAAUGAAACCCACCCUUCAUUUAAGCAACCCAAUGUGAUUCGGCGUAGGCAUAAUUUCUUCAAAAGGUUGUUCACUCCCACUUUCCUUGGAGCGGCAGGCUAAGGUAGUCUAAUGAAACCCAUCCUUCAUUUAAGCAACCCAAUGGGAUUCGGCGUAGGCAUAAUUUCUUCAAAAAGUUGUUCACACCCACUUUCCUUGGAGCCGCAGGCUUUUUCCUAUGAAGGUCUCUCCCAAAUCCGGUAAACCCACCUAAUUUCUCCAGUGUGGGAGUCAUUUCGGAAUCUUUGAACCUGAAGACAUUGUUUGUCGGGUCCCAAAAACUCACCAGAGCCUCAAUCAGAUCCUUGUCAGGAUUAAUUCCCAUGAUGUCCGUGAGGAACUUAAGGUGCUUAAUAAUUUAAUUUCGUUCCCAAAGGGCAAACUAGUCCACCAAUUAUAGAGACUGCUCGGGGUCUUAUCUCAGAUCACGAACAUAGGAGGCUUUUCGUCCCUUGCCCAUGAGGAACUUGAGGUGUUUAAAAUUUUGAUUUCAUUCCCAAAGGGCAAACUAGUCCACCAAUUAUAGAGAGUGCUCGGGGUCUUAUCUAGGAUCAUGAACAUAGGAGGCUUUUCGUCCCUUGCUCUUUUCUGGCCAUUUCUUUGCGGAGUACCAAUGAUGAUCCUAAAAAUAAAGAAAUAAUGAAAAAUUAAGACUCGCCUAACCCAUAUACAGACUCUAAAAAAAAGAUUGCCGUUGUUUUUUCCCUAUUAGAAAAAUUGGCGCCCUCAAUACGACCUUUCAGCACUUAAAGAAGAUAUUAAGGCUGUGUUUUGUUCACCGAAGAAAAAUUUUAAGGGAUGACUAUAGGUAAAUGCUCUUGCGAAACAGUCCUCCAGCGCCCUUUUUCUAGACGUUUGGCUGUUUUACUUAAGAAUAACAUUACCUUUACAUCAUGACAAAAUCAU